This 61-nucleotide transfer RNA is filed under the name Dipodomys ordii (Ord's kangaroo rat). It matches the Rfam family "tRNA", at positions 6 to 65 of the family's 71-position model. From Rfam's summary of the family: Transfer RNA (tRNA) molecules are approximately 80 nucleotides in length. Their secondary structure includes four short double-helical elements and three loops (D, anti-codon, and T loops). Further hydrogen bonds mediate the characteristic L-shaped molecular structure. tRNAs have two regions of fundamental functional importance: the anti-codon, which is responsible for specific mRNA codon recognition, and the 3' end, to which the tRNAs corresponding amino acid is attached (by aminoacyl-tRNA synthetases). tRNAs cope with the degeneracy of the genetic code in two manners: having more than one tRNA (with a specific anti-codon) for a particular amino acid; and 'wobble' base-pairing, i.e. permitting non-standard base-pairing at the 3rd anti-codon position. Lineage: Eukaryota; Metazoa; Chordata; Mammalia; Rodentia; Heteromyidae. The record is from Rfam by way of RNAcentral.
UGUGGCUCAGUGGUAGAGUACAUGCAUAGCAGGUGUGAGACCUUGGGUUCAAUUCCCAGCA